Molecule: long non-coding RNA, 763 nt
Organism: Lactuca sativa (garden lettuce)
Lineage: Eukaryota; Viridiplantae; Streptophyta; Magnoliopsida; Asterales; Asteraceae
Source: RefSeq, a predicted model, not a curated record
CUCUUAUCCUUAACAAGAUUAUUGACAACCGACCAAUCUGGUUCUAUUUAUACUUGCAAACUUAAACAUAAAUAUGGUAUUUAAAAUCCGAACUUGCAAUUUAAGGGAGUACACUAAAAACAAAUCUCUGUCAAAAAGGAAAUUCUCAAGAAAAAAGGGCUGAAACUGAAGAAAGCUGGAAACUUUGAGGUUGGAGAAUAUAUUAAGAGGAAAAAGAGAAGAAAAAUUGAGUAUACUGAAGCUCCCACGUCGUAGAUAACUGCAUCCCAUGACGUGGCAUUUGGAAUCUUCUCGAUGCGUGAAUGGAAUAGCUUCUCACGAUGUGAAAAUCUAUUGGUCACGACGUGACGACGUGUUAAUUAUAGAGCAUCUCCAGCAUGCAUGGAAGCCUUGGCGCAUACAAGAUUAUUAUGUUUCUCACGACGUGGAACUUAUAUUGUCACUACGUGAAAGCUGAACGAGGGCACAUAUAAAUAACGACUUCUAGGUCGAAAUCAGGAGACUUUUGGCUUUAGAGUCGCGAUUGAAAACUGAGUACAACCCUUCUAAGAACCCUUGGAUGGAAAAAGAAGAUUAAAGAUAAAGAGUUUAAGAGAUUAGAGCAAGAAUACUACAUAAUCCAUUCGGUUUGCCUAGAUUUAAUCAUGUUUAACCUAGCUUUCUACUUGAUUGUGUGUUUUUCUUCUGUAAUUAUGGGCUAACACCCUUUAAUGGUCAUUUAGAUUAGAUAAUCCCUAAUAAUAUGUGUUAGUUUCUUUGUUCA